GAUGAGAACGCAGCGAAAUGCGAUAAGUAAUGUGAAUUGCAGAAUUCAGUGAAUCAUCGAAUCUUUGAACGCACAUUGCGCCCGCCAGUAUUCUGGCGGGCAUGCCUGUUCGAGCGUCAUUUCAACCAUCAAGCCCCAGGCUUGUGUUGGGGACCUGCGGCUGCCGCAGGCCCUGAAAACCAGUGGCGGGCUCGCUGUCACACCGGGCGUAGUAGAUUUUAUCUCGCUCAGGGCGUGCUGCGGGUUCCUGCCGUUAAAAAGCCUUUUUUACCCAAGGUUGACCUCGGAUCAGGUAGGAAGACCCGCUGAACUUAAGCAUAUCAAUAAGCGGAGGA
This 335-nucleotide unclassified non-coding RNA is filed under the name soil metagenome. RNAcentral describes it as "partial contains 5.8S ribosomal RNA, internal transcribed spacer 2, and large subunit ribosomal RNA". The stretch from base 5 to 119 matches the Rfam family "5.8S ribosomal RNA", at positions 40 to 154 of the family's 154-position model. The record is from RNAcentral.